RNAcentral lists this ribosomal RNA (1365 nucleotides) under metagenome. RNAcentral describes it as "bacterial LSU rRNA". It matches the Rfam family "Bacterial large subunit ribosomal RNA", at positions 1582 to 2925 of the family's 2925-position model. The record is from RNAcentral.
UUGGUGAAGUGGAUGAUCCUAUGCUGCCGAGAAAAGCCUCUAGUGAGUGUUGUGGCGGCCCGUACCCUAAACCGACUCAGGUGGUCAGGUAGAGAAUACCAAGGCGAUCGGGUGAACUGUGGUUAAGGAACUCGGCAAAUUGCCCCCGUAACUUCGGGAGAAGGGGGACCUCUGCUGGUGAUGGGCUUUACGUUCUGAGCUGGUGGGGGUCGCAGUGGCCAGGGGGAAGCGACUGUUUACUAAAAACACAGGUCCGUGCGAAGUCGUAAGACGAUGUAUACGGACUGACGCCUGCCCGGUGCCGGAACGUUAAGGGGACCGCUUAGCCAACGCGAGUUGGCGAAGGUGAGAACUUAAGCGCCGGUAAACGGCGGUGGUAACUAUAACCAUCCUAAGGUAGCGAAAUUCCUUGUCGGGUAAGUUCCGACCUGCACGAAUGGCGUAACGACUUCCCCGCUGUCUCAACCACAGACCCGGCGAAAUUGCACUACGAGUAAAGAUGCUCGUUUCGCGCAGCAGGACGGAAAGACCCCGGGACCUUCACUACAGCUUGACAUUGGCGUUUGGAACGUCUUGUGUAGGAUAGGUGGGAGACUGGGAAGCUGUCACGCUAGUGAUGGUGGAGUCAUUGGUGAAAUACCACUCUGGUCGUUUUGAACGUCUAACUCUGGUCCGUGAUCCGGAUCGGGGACAGUGUCUGGUGGGUAGUUUAACUGGGGCGGUUGCCUCCUAAAGAGUAACGGAGGCGCCCAAAGGUUCCCUCAGCCUGGUUGGCAAUCAGGUGUUGAGUGUAAGUGCACAAGGGAGCUUGACUGUGAGACUGACAGGUCGAGCAGGAGCGAAAGCUGGGACUAGUGAUCCGGCAUCGGCGUGUGGAAGCGGUGUCGCUCAACGGCUAAAAGGUACCCCGGGGAUAACAGGCUGAUCUUCCCCAAGAGUCCAUAUCGACGGGAUGGUUUGGCACCUCGAUGUCGGCUCGUCGCAUCCUGGGGCUGGAGUAGGUCCCAAGGGUUGGGCUGUUCGCCCAUUAAAGCGGUACGCGAGCUGGGUUUAGAACGUCGCGAGACAGUUCGGUCCCUAUCCGCUGCGCGCGCAGGAGACUUGAAGGGGGCUGUCCCUAGUACGAGAGGACCGGGACGGACGAACCUCUGGUGUGCCAGUUGUACCGCCAGGUGCACGGCUGGUUGGCUACGUUCGGAAGGGAUAACCGCUGAAAGCAUCUAAGCGGGAAGCUCGCCUUGAGAUGAGGUCUCCCACCACGAGAGUGGGUAAGGCUCCCGGUAGAUCACCGGGUUGAUAGGCCGGAGGUGGAAGCACGGUAACGUGUGGAGCUGACCGGUACUAAUAGGCCGAGGACUUGAUCAA